AGAGGAAGGACCGUCCCCAGGCCCCGGGGCUCGACUGCAAGCCUUCUCCUUCUGCAACAGCGGCAAAGGCACUGCUGCGGUCCUCAGGGACUUCCUCUGGGCCCAAGCAGCCCCGAUACCUCGAGGGAAAGACGGUAAACCCAACCCGGUCAGCCGCGCCGGCUCCGCCCCUCUUCCCAGGCCCUUCCCGCUUUCGUACGCAGGGACUGCUGAAAUGACGCCGCCAGAACAACUUGAGCCUCAUACCACUUACCUGCACCGGUAGAGUUUUCCUCUUCUCUGGGUCCGGUCCUUUGAAGCGCUUCAAAU
RNAcentral lists this long non-coding RNA (309 nucleotides) under Homo sapiens (human). RNAcentral describes it as "non-protein coding lnc-FASTKD1-4:4". Lineage: Eukaryota; Metazoa; Chordata; Mammalia; Primates; Hominidae. The record is from RNAcentral.